GGAUGAGAAUCUUCCGCAAUGCACGAAAGUGUGACGGAGCGACGCCGCGUGAUGGAUGAAGCCCCUUGGGGUGUAAACAUUUUUAUGUAUGAAGAAAUUAUUGACAUUAGUACAUGAAUAAGAGGCUCCUAACUCUGUGCCAGCAGGAGCGGUAAUACAGAGGCCUCGAGCGUUAUUCGGAAUUAUUGGGCGUAAAGGGUGCGUAGGUGGUUAUAUUAGUCGAAUUUCAAAGACCUGGGCUCAACCUGGG
This 250-nucleotide ribosomal RNA is filed under the name uncultured bacterium. Its description in RNAcentral is "partial 16S ribosomal RNA". It matches the Rfam family "Bacterial small subunit ribosomal RNA", at positions 353 to 618 of the family's 1533-position model. The record is from RNAcentral.